Molecule: ribosomal RNA, 216 nt
Filed under: Glomeromycotina sp.
Lineage: Eukaryota; Fungi; Glomeromycota
Description: partial small subunit ribosomal RNA
Rfam family: Eukaryotic small subunit ribosomal RNA (bases 40-216)
Source: RNAcentral
GGGUCAAUAGGUUGGUCGUGCCACCGGUACGUACUGGUCUCACUGAUUCCUCCUUCCUGAAGAACCGUAAUGCCAUUAAUUUGGUGUAGCGGGGAAACAGGACUGUUACUUUGAAAAAAUUAGAGUGUUUAAAGCAAGCUAACGCUUGAAUACAUUAGCAUGGAAUAAUGAAAUAGGACGAUCGAUCCUAUUUUGUUGGUUUCUAGGAUUGACGUA